UGGAGCAUGUGGUUUAAUUCGAAGCAACGCGCAGAACCUUACCAACCCUUGACAUGGGUAUCGCGGGAUCAGAGAUGGUCCUUUCAGUUCGGCUGGAUACCACACAGGUGCUGCAUGGCUGUCGUCAGCUCGUGUCGUGAGAUGUUCGGUUAAGUCCGGCAACGAGCGCAACCCACACUCUUAGUUGCCAGCAUUCAGUUGGGCACUCUAGGAGAACUGCCGGUGAUAAGCCGGAGGAAGGUGUGGAUGACGUCAAGUCCUCAUGGCCCUUACGGGUUGGGCUACACACGUGCUACAAUGGUGGUGACAAUGGGCCAAUCCCAAAAAGCCAUCUCAGUUCGGAUUGGGGUCUGCAACUCGACCCCAUGAAGUCGGAAUCGCUAGUAAUCGCGUAACAGCAUGACG
RNAcentral lists this ribosomal RNA (405 nucleotides) under uncultured Alphaproteobacteria bacterium. Its description in RNAcentral is "bacterial SSU rRNA". It matches the Rfam family "Bacterial small subunit ribosomal RNA", at positions 933 to 1359 of the family's 1533-position model. The record is from RNAcentral. Lineage: Bacteria; Pseudomonadati; Pseudomonadota; Alphaproteobacteria.